This 1143-nucleotide long non-coding RNA is filed under the name Homo sapiens (human). RNAcentral's name for it is "IRF2 divergent transcript". Lineage: Eukaryota; Metazoa; Chordata; Mammalia; Primates; Hominidae. The record is from RNAcentral.
GGGUUUAUGUAGCAGGGAAGAUGUGUAAUAAUGUGUAAGAAAGCAGGAACUAGGGAGGGGCAAGGAAGCAAUCAUGAUGAAUGAGGGCCUGGCAUCUCAUUGUCUGGAUAUGAUUAGCUGAAGAAACUGUUAGAGCACCCUGGGAUGUGUGGGCCUGGGACUGUUUGCCUUUGGCACGGCUAUGCUCCGAGCUUUGGAGGAGCCAAGGAAGAAAGGCCUAGUUCCUGAUCUUAAGGCCUUUGCAGUGUGCAUUGGGAGACAUAGACUGCAAUGAAAAGAUCAUUAUUGCAAGAGACAAAUGGCAUGGAGCCACAUUCCCAGGGAAGAAGCCAAAAGAUUGGACACCCCUGAUAUAAAUGGAUGUUCCUCCCCUCUCCCACCCAGGAGACUAAGAAGCUGAAGGAAGAGACUGUGUGUUCCAUAUCCCAGACUCAGGGGAGAAAACGAGAUGUCACUGAAACUCUCCCCGUGGUCGUUUCAACCACAUCUCCAUCACAUUAUAGCCAGCAAGGGCGCAAGCACAGGCCAGAAUUCUUAACGGAAUUGUGGACAUGGGACUUCCAACAGAGGAUAAGGUUUGCUUUUAUUACAGGGCACUGGUCCACCAAACAGGGCGUCAGUAGGCCCUCUGGAUAAAAGCUACAUUUAUCCAUGAUGUGGAGAGAGGUCUUCCGAGCUAAAGUCAGUGCACAUGGUCUACACCACGUGUAGUGCGGUGUGGUGUAGACAAUGUGCACGGACCUUGGCUCAGAAGACCUCCCUCCACAUCAGCUGCAGGGUGCUCCAAGUCACCCACCCACUCUGAGCCUAUUUCCUCAUCUGUAAAAUACCAACCAGCCUAAUCCUCUUAGAGAUUGUUUAAGGAUCUGGUGAGAAAAUAUUUUUACAACGCUUUUUAAACUAAGUCUUAAAGAAAUACAAAAUAUUUUACUAGCCCUUUCUCGAUGGCAUGAACACAAAAUUCUGCUUAAGAAGUGCACCACAGGGCUGGGUGUGGCGGCUCAUGCCUGUAAUCCCAGCGCUUUUGGAGGCCAAGGCAGGUGGAUCACCUGAGGUCAGGAGCUCCAGACCAGCCUGGCCAACAUGGUGAAAACCCAUCUCUACUAAAAAUACAAAAAUUAGCCAGGCAUGGUGGUGGGCGCC